GGCUUCGUAGCUCAGCUGGUAGAGCAUUUACUCUGUUUAGGCACGUUGUUUCUGUCGCUGGCUCAAAUCCAGCCGAAGUCC
Molecule: transfer RNA, 81 nt
Filed under: Paragonimus westermani
Lineage: Eukaryota; Metazoa; Platyhelminthes; Trematoda; Plagiorchiida; Troglotrematidae
Description: tRNA-Asn
Rfam family: tRNA
About the family: Transfer RNA (tRNA) molecules are approximately 80 nucleotides in length.
Source: RNAcentral